UACGGAAGGCAGCAGUGGGGAAUAUUGCACAAUGGGCGCAAGCCUGAUGCAGCCAUGCCGCGUGUAUGAAGAAGGCCUUCGGGUUGUAAAGUACUUUCAGUCGUGAGGAAGGUGUUAAGGUUAAUAACCUUAGCAAUUGACGUUAGCGACAGAAGAAGCACCGGCUAACUCCGUGCCAGCAGCCGCGGUAAUACGGAGGGUGCGAGCGUUAAUCGGAAUUACUGGGCGUAAAGGGCACGCAGGCGGUUAAUUAAGUUGGAUGUGAAAUCCCCGGGCUUAACCUGGGAAUGGCAUUCAAGACUGGUUAGCUAGAGUCUUGUAGAGGGGGUAGAAUUCCAUGUGUAGCGGUGAAAUGCGUAGAGAUGUGGAGGAAUACCGGGUGGCGAAAGGCGGCCCCUGGGACAAAGACUGACGCUCAUGUGCGAAAGCGUGGGGAGCAAACAGGAUUAGAUACC
Molecule: ribosomal RNA, 455 nt
Filed under: uncultured bacterium
Lineage: Bacteria
Description: bacterial SSU rRNA
Rfam family: Bacterial small subunit ribosomal RNA
Source: RNAcentral